This 616-nucleotide transfer RNA is filed under the name uncultured cyanobacterium. RNAcentral describes it as "partial 16S-23S ribosomal RNA intergenic spacer". The stretch from base 363 to 435 matches the Rfam family "tRNA". Lineage: Bacteria; Bacillati; Cyanobacteriota. The record is from RNAcentral.
UAGGGAGACCUACACCCCUCAGGAAUCGAAAAACACACAGUUAAAUAGAUACUGGGAUGGUCAAACCUAGGUCGGUCGCAGACAUUUGCAAUUGUUGAAAGCUUUCAAACUAUGAUUUGGUUCGAUAUGGGCUAUUAGCUCAGGUGGUUAGAGCGCACCCCUGAUAAGGGUGAGGUCCCUGGUUCGAGUCCAGGAUGGCCCACCUGAAGGAGUGCUGAGUACCAAGUGCUGAGUACUGAGUAAAAAAUACUUAGUAUUGAGGAGUUAGGAAUUCAGGACUACUAUAGUGGGAGUAAAUUUGAGAAAGCGCGUGGUGAGAACAAAAAACUCAGCACUCGGCACUCAUAACUCAACACUGUAUUGGGGGUUUAGCUCAGUUGGUAGAGCGCCUGCUUUGCAAGCAGGAUGUCAGCGGUUCGAGUCCGCUAACCUCCACCUGUGGCGAUUGCCAAAAUGAAAAUAAGAGAAAUCAGCAACAUGGCUUAAAAGCCAGACUGCUGAGUAAAAUCUCAGCCAGAACCUUGAAAACUGCAUAGUAACGCAAAAUUAGCAGGCAGACACAGACAUUCUUUUAUGGAUGUUGAGUGAAUGCAAAUGUAACACCAAAAGUAUGAGU